This is a non-coding RNA of Pelobates cultripes (western spadefoot toad), 211 nucleotides long. The record is from the annotation of a GenBank genome assembly. NCBI's taxonomy places the organism in Eukaryota, Metazoa, Chordata, Amphibia, Anura, Pelobatidae.
CACUGACUAGGCUUAACAGGGCUGAAAUGAUCGCCCAUAGUUGCUGUAUUUCUCGUGCAGAGACAGCUGGCCUGCAAUUUGAAUCUAGACCGCUCUUUUGGUUGGGGUCAGUUGCAUAUGCAAAUAGCCCUAGUUCUUUUUGUAAUGGCUCAAGAUGAGCUAAAACCAGCUUGACAGCUGAGCGGGACCACUGAAGGGCAGGCUACUUGAG